Molecule: ribosomal RNA, 253 nt
Filed under: uncultured bacterium
Lineage: Bacteria
Description: partial 16S ribosomal RNA
Rfam family: Bacterial small subunit ribosomal RNA
Source: RNAcentral
UACGGGGGGGGCAAGCGUUGUUCGGAAUUACUGGGCGUAAAGGGCUCGUAGGCGGCCAACUAAGUCAGACGUGAAAUCCCUCGGCUUAACCGGGGAACUGCGUCUGAUACUGGAUGGCUUGAGUGUGGGAGAGGGAUGCGGAAUUCCAGGUGUAGCGGUGAAAUGCGUAGAUAUCAGGAGGAACACCGGUGGCGAAGGCGGCUUUCUGGACAGAUACCGACGCUGAGGCACGAAAGCUAGGGGAGCAAACAGG